This 610-nucleotide ribosomal RNA is filed under the name Debaryomyces hansenii. RNAcentral's name for it is "eukaryotic LSU rRNA". It matches the Rfam family "Eukaryotic large subunit ribosomal RNA", at positions 38 to 663 of the family's 3401-position model. The record is from RNAcentral. Lineage: Eukaryota; Fungi; Ascomycota; Pichiomycetes; Serinales; Debaryomycetaceae.
GCAUAUCAAAAAGCGGAGGAAAAGAAACCAACAGGGAUUGCCUUAGUAACGGCGAGUGAAGCGGCAAAAGCUCAAAUUUGAAAUCUGGCACCUUCGGUGUCCGAGUUGUAAUUUGAAGAAGGUAACUUUGGAGUUGGCUCUUGUCUAUGUUCCUUGGAACAGGACGUCACAGAGGGUGAGAAUCCCGUGCGAUGAGAUGCCCAAUUCUAUGUAAAGUGCUUUCGAAGAGUCGAGUUGUUUGGGAAUGCAGCUCUAAGUGGGUGGUAAAUUCCAUCUAAAGCUAAAUAUUGGCGAGAGACCGAUAGCGAACAAGUACAGUGAUGGAAAGAUGAAAAGAACUUUGAAAAGAGAGUGAAAAAGUACGUGAAAUUGUUGAAAGGGAAGGGCUUGAGAUCAGACUUGGUAUUUUGCGAUCCUUUCCUUCUUGGUUGGGUUCCUCGCAGCUUACUGGGCCAGCAUCGGUUUGGAUGGUAGGAUAAUGACUAAGGAAUGUGGCUCUACUUCGGUGGAGUGUUAUAGCCUUGGUUGAUACUGCCUGUCUAGACCGAGGACUGCGUCUUUUGACUAGGAUGUUGGCAUAAUGAUCUUAAGCCACCCGUCUUGAAACACG